GAGAAAUUUCAGUAAUUUGGGUUGAUUUGGAUCAUGAUGGUCGGAUUAGUGGUGCCGAAGCCGUCGCUUUUUUUCAAGGAUCUGGCUUGAAUCAACAAGUUCUUGCCCAGGGAGAUGAAGAUGGAAGAUCAGAGAAUUAAAGUUGAGAAGAGAGGGCUGGAUACAUUUGCUGAACUGUUGAAGAAGGGAAGGUAAAAACUUGAUGGAUGUUGAGGAGCUUCUAUACUGUUGGAGGAAUCUGAAAAGUCCGGUUUUCGUGGAUUUGGUAAGUAGGUUUUAUGGAGAGUUAUGCAGGGACCUGUUUUCUUCUUCUGGAGAGACCUAAAGCCAGCAGACCAGUAUCUCAUCAGAAUGACAAACAUUACAUUUAGUAUUCUUCUCAAAUUCAUCUCUUGAUUUUCUAUGUGUCUCUCUCUUCUGUUGCAAGUAAGAAUCCUUAAAAGGUCUAUUGUUGUUAUGUAUGCCGUUUUACACAUUUGUAAUCUGAUGGCAUACACAUUUUAGAGAUCUUUUUUGUUGGUUACUAAAGCAACAAUGUGUUGCAUUGCAAAGAGAUUCUAGCUGUCAAGUUGGAUGACUGUUGCUCCAAGUUUGUGCUCUAAUUUUUUAGUAGCAACAAACAUAAUGGUUGGUACAGAAGAAGCAUAUAGUAUAUGAAAAAUUCUUAGGUAAGAUGAAAGUGACACCAAGUUUGAGUUCAUGGGAUCCCACCUCCCUGAAGCUUUUCUAGACGUGUGCCCCAAUAUUGUAGACCACCCCUCUCCUAUGCGGAGGAGCUUCAAUUUCCCCUGACUUUCCUCCACUGCCUACAAAACUCGCAAACAACGUUGCAAGUAAACA
Molecule: long non-coding RNA, 840 nt
Organism: Spinacia oleracea (spinach)
Lineage: Eukaryota; Viridiplantae; Streptophyta; Magnoliopsida; Caryophyllales; Amaranthaceae
Exons: 3
Source: RefSeq, a predicted model, not a curated record